RNAcentral lists this ribosomal RNA (465 nucleotides) under Vreelandella stevensii. Its description in RNAcentral is "partial 16S ribosomal RNA". It matches the Rfam family "Bacterial small subunit ribosomal RNA", at positions 338 to 795 of the family's 1533-position model. The record is from RNAcentral. Lineage: Bacteria; Pseudomonadati; Pseudomonadota; Gammaproteobacteria; Oceanospirillales; Halomonadaceae.
CCUACGGGUGGCUGCAGUGGGGAAUAUUGGACAAUGGGGGCAACCCUGAUCCAGCCAUGCCGCGUGUGUGAAGAAGGCCCUCGGGUUGUAAAGCACUUUCAGUGAGGAAGAACGCCUGGUGGUUAAUACCCAUCAGGAAAGACAUCACUCACAGAAGAAGCACCGGCUAACUCCGUGCCAGCAGCCGCGGUAAUACGGAGGGUGCGAGCGUUAAUCGGAAUUACUGGGCGUAAAGCGCGCGUAGGUGGCUUGAUAAGCCGGUUGUGAAAGCCCCGGGCUCAACCUGGGAACGGCAUCCGGAACUGUCAAGCUAGAGUGCAGGAGAGGAAGGUAGAAUUCCCGGUGUAGCGGUGAAAUGCGUAGAGAUCGGGAGGAAUACCAGUGGCGAAGGCGGCCUUCUGGACUGACACUGACACUGAGGUGCGAAAGCGUGGGUAGCAAACAGGAUUAGAUACCCCACUAGUC